Long non-coding RNA from Cephus cinctus (wheat stem sawfly), 379 nucleotides. RefSeq lists it as uncharacterized. Lineage: Eukaryota; Metazoa; Arthropoda; Insecta; Hymenoptera; Cephidae. The transcript has 2 exons. The record is from RefSeq and is a predicted model, not a curated record.
UUUUCUUCGUCGGUAUUAAGAAACGGGUGUCGACGUCGGGACGCAAAAGUCACGAAAGAAGAUGGCGAUCCGAGGUUCGGAAGAGGUGGAGCGUGGAAAGUUUCUACGCAGCGUGCCUGGACGUUUUUGCAAAUUGCUAAAGCGCUUAAGCUGUUUCACGUGGGCGCCAGUGACGUCAUGGUCCAAUUGGAUUUCAGCAUCCCCCACCGUUGCGUAACACCGACAAUAAUCGACGUCAGACUUUCAAAUGGGUUUCAGUGCGGAGAGAGGGAGGUCUACAUUGAUUCUCACUGAUGAUCGUCGAUGCUUAUCGACCUUCACGGGCCAUGUAUCUUCAUCAUCGGCGUUCCUAAAGACGAAAAAAGUUACUUAAAAAUCA